Molecule: ribosomal RNA, 253 nt
Filed under: uncultured bacterium
Lineage: Bacteria
Description: partial 16S ribosomal RNA
Rfam family: Bacterial small subunit ribosomal RNA
Source: RNAcentral
UACGUAGGGUGCAAGCGUUGUCCGGAAUUAUUGGGCGUAAAGAGCGCGCAGGCGGUCGUUCAAGUCGAGUGUGAAAGCCCCCGGCUCAACUGGGGAGGGUCAUUCGAUACUGAUCGACUCGAAGGCAGGAGAGGGAAGCGGAAUUCCCGGUGUAGUGGUGAAAUGCGUAGAUAUCGGGAGGAACACCAGUGGCGAAGGCGGCUUCCUGGCCUGUUCUUGACGCUGAGGCGCGAAAGCUAGGGGAGCAAACGGG